AAUAUAUCUAAACAAAUAUGGCCGUUGCUAUAAAUAUGUGGGUGCAGAGGAGCCGGAUGAAGAAAAAUAACCUGAGGAGCUUCCAUAGGGUAAUGCUCUGGAAAGUCAACUUGAAGUUGGUAGGUCUCAUUAGCGUAGAGUGUUCCCGGAGCUCCGUUUACUUCAAUUACCCAUCUUUGGAGAUUAUCAGUGGCUUUGUGUUUGAAGCCAGCAGGAGGGUUGACCUGCCACUCU
RNAcentral lists this unclassified non-coding RNA (234 nucleotides) under Hevea brasiliensis (rubber tree). Lineage: Eukaryota; Viridiplantae; Streptophyta; Magnoliopsida; Malpighiales; Euphorbiaceae. The record is from RNAcentral.